AGAGUUUGAUCAUGGCUCAGGACAAACGCUGGCGGCGUGCCUAACACAUGCAAGUCGAGCGCGAAAGGGACCUUCGGGUCCCCUGAGAGCGGCGAACGGGUGAGUAACACGUGGGCAACCUGCCUCAAGGACUGGGAUAACUCCGGGAAACCGGGGCUAAUACCGGGCGAUGUCGAUUCGCGCAAGUGGUUCGACCAAAUGGUAGCUUCGGCCUCCGCCUUGAGAUGGGCCCGCGUCCUAUCAGCUUGUUGGUGAGGUAACGGCUCACCAAGGCUACGACGGGUAGCUGGUCUGAGAGGAUGAUCAGCCACACUGGGACUGAGAUACGGCCCAGACUCCUACGGGAGGCAGCAGUGGGGAAUCUUGCGCAAUGGGCGAAAGCCUGACGCAGCAACGCCGCGUGAGCGAAGAAGGCCUUCGGGUUGUAAAGCUCUGUCAGGGGGAAAGAAGGCACCUGGGUUAAUAGCCCAAGGGCUGACGGUACCUCCAAAGGAAGCCACGGCUAACUACGUGCCAGCAGCCGCGGUAAUACGUAGGUGGCGAGCGUUGUCCGGAAUCAUUGGGCGUAAAGAGCGCGUAGGUGGCUUGUCAGGUCUGGUGUGAAAUCCUGGGGCUCAACCCCAGGCGUGCAUCGGAAACCGGCUUGCUAGAGUCUGGGAGAGGAGAGUGGAAUUCCUGGUGUAGCGGUGAAAUGCGUAGAUAUCAGGAGGAACACCGGUAGCGAAGGCGGCUCUCUGGAACAGUACUGACACUGAGGCGCGAAAGCUAGGGGAGCGAACAGGAUUAGAUACCCUAGUAGUCC
RNAcentral lists this ribosomal RNA (802 nucleotides) under uncultured bacterium. RNAcentral describes it as "bacterial SSU rRNA". It matches the Rfam family "Bacterial small subunit ribosomal RNA", at positions 8 to 796 of the family's 1533-position model. The record is from RNAcentral.